GAGCAACGCCGCGUGAACGAUGAAGUAUUUCGGUAUGUAAAGUUCUUUUAUUGGAGAAGAAAAAAUAGUGGAAAAACUAUCUUGACGAUAUUCAAUGAAUAAGCCCCGGCAAACUAUGUGCCAGCAGCCGCGGUAAUACAUAGGGGGCGAGCGUUAUCCGGAAUUAUUGGGCGUAAAGGGUGCGUAGGCGGUUUGGUAAGUCUAUAGUUUAAUUUCAGUGCUUAACACUGUUCUGCUAUAGAAACUAUCAGACUAGAGUGAGAUAGAGGCAAGUGGAAUUCCAUGUGUAGCGGUAAAAUGCGUAAAUAUAUGGAGGAACACCAGAGGCGUAGGCGGCUUGCUGGGUCUUUACUGACGCUGAGGCACGAAAGCGUGGGGAGCAAACAGGAUUAGAUACCCUGGUAGUCCACGCCGUAAACGAUGAGUACUAAGUGUCGGGGAAACUCGGUACUGAAGUUAACACAUUAAGUACUCCGCCUGAGUAGUACGUACGCAAGUAUGAAACUUAAAGGAAUUGACGGGACUCCGCACAAGCGGUGGAUCAUGUUGUUUAAUUCGAAGAUACACGAAAAACCUUACCAGGUCUUGACAUACUCUGCAAAGCUAUAGCAAUAUAGCGGAGGUUAUCAGGGAUACAGGUGGUGCAUGGUUGUCGUCAGCUCGUGUCGUGAGAUGUUAGGUUAAGUCCUAAAACGAGCGCAACCCUUGUCACUAGUUGCCAGCAUGUUAUGAUGGGCACUUUAGUGAGACUGCCAAUGAAAAAUUGGAGGAAG
RNAcentral lists this ribosomal RNA (773 nucleotides) under Bermudagrass white leaf phytoplasma. RNAcentral describes it as "bacterial SSU rRNA". It matches the Rfam family "Bacterial small subunit ribosomal RNA", at positions 389 to 1172 of the family's 1533-position model. Lineage: Bacteria; Bacillati; Mycoplasmatota; Mollicutes; Acholeplasmatales; Acholeplasmataceae. The record is from RNAcentral.